GGUGCAGGUGUAGUGUAAACAGCAAAGUCAGCAACAGUGAGCAGUGGGAGUGCGCGUGGGCGGUUAGUGCGCCAGUGCAUUGGUGUCAAGUGUGAGCUGUGACCUGGUCGAGCACCGGUGAUGGCGUGGCCCAGGUGCCCCGGCUAUUAUGGUUGAGAAUGUCCGCGGCCAGUGCGGGCGUGCGGCAGUGACCAGGGUGGCCAGCAGUCGAGUGGAGUUGCGUGCUUGCCGUGUGCUUGCCUGUCGAGGCGUACAUGUGGUGGGCGUGAAUCCUUGCGCCGCGCCCGCGCCUUGUCCCGCCCAUUAUGGACUCUGUGUCCCUGUGGUUGUGACUCUCACCGACGCAACCAAUGGACUGGGAACUGUUCAGCCAGACGAGGAAGCAAUCUUGAAAAUAGUGGAAGCGAACCGUAAGAAAGUUGCAGCGAAGAGAGCAGCAAAGGCAGCAAACCAGGAAGACAGAACUGUGCCAGAGUUGGUGGACGUCCCGUCAACCUCACCGCCGGCCACUGUUGUCGCCGCCCAACCUAAGUUAGAGAGCCAGCCCUCGGGGGUUGAUGUAGAAGGCAUCGUGGAGGCCGUGGAGCGGUGGGUUCGCGGGCCGGGAGAGGAGGAGCAGGUCGAGAGUGCCCAACAAAAGGAGGCUCGUCAGUACAAGGAGUUGGUGGGCACACUGGCCGAGCUGGCUGCAGAGAAGCGGGCAGGGCGCGUGGCCCCUGGCCCGGAGCCGCCCACAGGCACGCCACGUCACCAUGAGACAGUCCAACUGUUUUCUGAGCUUAUGCAGACCGACGAUGUCUCAACCAUAGCGGCUCACAUCGCUAACAAAGCUGAACUGAUUUAUCAAACUUGGAAAAGGACUGGACUUAACCCCACCGAGCUUAUUCAAUACCACACACCUCUACCCAGGGGAGAGCAGGCAUCCGACGGGGAAACCAGCCCCAGUGGGCCACCUUCUGCAACAGCCAAGCCUCGCACGCCCGUGAGGAACAUCAGCCCUGCCCCUCCCGGCUCCUCACCUGCUGUAUCUAGGAAGUUCAUUGAACCAGCGUUGCACAACGGGCGGCCACACGCCACUUCGCCAGUACGCACCCUCAACGCCUCUCCUCGUCCUUACAUCCCGCCGGGCACGUCACCACAUUCACCUAGCGCACAGCCACAGUCCCCCCCUGUCUUUCCCAGCAGCAACGGUGGCUCAUCUCCACAUCAAUCUCCACGCCUGCUGUACUCCUCCCCUGCCUCCCCCUCCCUCUCUCAGACGCAAGGCAACUCUCGGCCGUACGUGACAUCAGCCUCACCCCAGUCCCCUCGUGGUUCUCUCACUCAACCACCUCCGCCCCCUGAGCGGUCGUCCUCAUACCCAGGAGUUGACUCGACACAGCAGCAGCAGGAAGGUCCUUACGAUAUCUUUGUGGACUCUAAUCUUGAGACCUCCCUCCAGGAGCUAGUCAAGUCUUUUGUGUUAGAAGACAAGGCGCGUCAUCACGCCGCUGCCGUCGCCGCCCUGGCGUCACAACGCCCCAAAGGUGCAACUUCAUCCAUUCAGGAGGCACUGCAGAAGUUUGAGAGACAGAUGGUUAUCACCUCUCGCUCUGUAGCUCACUCACAGGAGCAGCCUGGUAGUCCUCCGCCCCCGUUAGGCACCAUGGGUCGCUUUGCCCAAAUGCAGAUGCAACAACAACAACAGCAACAGCAGCAGCUUAGCCCCAGCAUAGGAGGCAACAGCAUGAGUAUGAGCAGCAAUACCUCUAGCAGCAGUGUCACCAUCAGUACCAGUGGGCGGCGCUACGGUGGCACGCGGAGCGACUCUGCUAUGUCGACAGAGUGGUCACGAAUGCAGGCAGAACACGACAGCCGAAGUCGUCGGUCAGCUUCCCCGAACCCGCCGGUGUCUCAGCCUGGAUGGAACGAGACAAGUCCACCCAACACCUCCACUUGGCCCUUAAAAAACAAGCAGCCGAUGGUUGUGGAGAGAAAGUCUUCCAAGCACAGCGCCUCGGCCUCUGGCAUGUCGUCCUCGGCAUCGUCAUCCUCGUUCUCCUCCUCUAGCAGCAGCAUGAGCAGCAGCAACGUUUCCACGUCCACUAAUUACAUCACGACGCUAGAGGCGCGUGUGGAGAGCUCUGGCCAGAAGUCUCUGGGCGUGCCGCUGCGACACAAGGUUGUGGCGAUGUCUGCUGUGGACCAGGAGGAAGAGCGCCUCAUGCAUGCCCUCCGCACCGGCACUCUCAUCGACGACGGGGAACAUCUCCGGCCGCUCAGUCAGUCCAGGCCCAUCCCGACACCCUCCCUGGUCAGCCCCCCUCACACGUCACCCGUCAACAGUACCAUCAUCACCGGCUCUCCCCCCAGCUCUGACGCUGCCCCGCUCUCUCCUAACUCCAGGAAGGCCAAGUACUCCAUCAGCGUCACCGUGGACGUGGACAAACCCAUCGAGGUGAUCCAUCAGGGAACUCACCAGCAGCAUCACAUUCAAAACCCGCAUCAAAUUCAACACCAUAUUCAUCACCAACAACAACAACAACUACAGCAUCAGCUGCAGCAACAACUACAGUUACAGCAGCAACAGCAGCAGCAUCUGCAACAACAACAACAGCUUCAGCAUCACCAACAAAUCACAAAGUUGGGGAGCUCCAGGUCCAUCAAGCUUGGCAAAGAAACAGAAAUGUCGAUGGUGGACUCUGCGAAACUUCGCUACCAGGAGUCCUUGCAACACCCGCACUCCUUGCAGCGACUCGACGACCAUCGCAGCAUGUCGACGAAGCAGAUAGUGAAUGGGGACGGUCACGUCAUGAAGCAGAGAACUCGCUUUGAGAACGGUAACACCACCCUUCCUGACAGCAUCUCGCGCGGCGCCCUAGGUAUUCAGGCUGACGAAGUGGGCUCAACACUGCCGGAAUUCUACCGCCGGAAGCUGCGAAAGAUGAGGAAAGCUGGUUCCCCCGAACCGUCCGUUGUAGGCAGCAUCUCGGCGCUGCCUCACCCCGAAUUGACCGACCAGCAGAAGGCACACAUCAGAGAACGGUCCCAGUCCCCCACCGCCGGAUACAACAGUGCCGGGGUGGCCAUCAGGCCCUUCCUUACUCAGGGCAGCGUGGCUGAGAGGGUGCUAAUUUUUGAGCGAGCUCCAGCAGAGAUGAAGCCCAAACCUGGGGCCCCACCCACUGCCGCCCCCGCCCCUGAGAAGCGACGUCUCGCCCUUUCCACAUGGCGGGAGCCCAACGAGGUGCGCUCCAUGGCCCAGUUUUGGAACAUCCUGAGCUUUUUGGGAGAGAUAGACGAAUUCCCGGACGGCCUGCAAGCCAUCUCGUCACCCACCUCCCCGCCCUCGCCCGCCCGCCAGACAGAGCCGCCCGUCACAGCAGAACAGGAAACCAAGCCUCUGGUAAGCGAGAGUCGGCACUUCCGCCCGCCACCUGAUUCAACUUACGUACGAGAGGGCAGUGCAGCGCAGAAAGAGAAUGCUCGUCCUCUACCUUCCUCUGGAAGCACCUCACCUGUGUCCCCUCUAUCCCAAACCACUACCAUCUCCCCACUGGCUCCCACUAGCCCUACCCCAACUACUCCACCCCUCACCACAGCCCUCCAGCAGAAUGCCCAUCCUGCUUCCCCUGCCUCCCCAGUGGGUCCCCCUGGGUCUACAACCUCCCCCUUGCACCCUGCAAGGGUCCCCAACACCUUACGCCGUCACAACAAGUCCACCAAGAACCUCCUUAUACCCAGAUUCUACUACCCAAUGGGUCGGCCAUCCACCCCUGCGAAUCAGGAGCAGGCACUGUCCCGGGUGUCAGCAGUGUUCCGGGAGCAGAAUGGCCAGGUGAUGCGGGACAACAUGGACCCACUCAUGCGUGCCUGUGGCCUUCCACUUUACUGGAAGGCCCCGCUGUUUAUCGCCGCUGGCGGGGAUAAGCUUGGCUACCUCACACAGGAACAAUUUUCAGAUUACUGGAGCAGAGUAAUCUCAACCUGCCAUGACACGGCCUCCCGAUUCGUGCGUGUGCUGACCCGUGGUAUGCGGAACUACCUCCUGCCUGAAGACUUCCUCAGCAUGAUCCAGGACGUUGUGGACACACACCCAGGGCUCACCUUUCUCAAGGAGGCUACUGAGUUCCACUCCAGAUAUGUGCACACAGUCAUAGCAAGAAUAUAUUAUUGUGUAAAUAGAUCUUGGUCAGGGAGAAUAACACUACCAGAACUUAGAAGAUCCAACUUAUUACAGGUAAUUAGUAUCUUAGAGGAAGAAGAGGAUAUUAACCAAAUCACAGAUUACUUCAGUUAUGAACACUUUUAUGUCAUUUACUGCAAGUUUUGGGAGCUGGAUACUGACCAUGACUUGUUCAUAGACAAGCAUGAUCUGGCCAAGCACAAUGAGCGGGCUCUCUCUUGGCGCAUGAUUGAACGGAUAUUCAGUGGAGCAGUGACAAGGGGACGCCUUCAGAAGCAAGACCGCAUGGGCUACCAAGAAUUUGUGUGGUUCCUCAUUUCUGAAGAAGACAAACGCCACCCAACAGCCAUAGAAUAUUGGUUCAGGUGCAUGGACCUUGAUGGGGAUGGCUACCUGUCCAUGUAUGAACUAGAGUACUUCUAUGAAGAGCAGCUGCAACGCAUGGAGGCUUUGGGAAUAGAGACCCUACCUUUCCAUGAUUGCCUUUGUCAGAUGCUGGAUAUGGUUCGACCAGAGGAGAACGACAAGAUAUCACUCAGGGACUUGAAGAAAUGUCGAAUGACUCCUAUUUUCUUUGAUACUUUCUUCAACUUGGAGAAAUAUCUUGACCACGAACAGCGAGAUCCCUUCGCAUCCCAUAGGGCAGAGGAAGAUGGCUCUGAGGUAUCAGAUUGGAAUCGGUAUGCUGCUGAGGAAUAUGAGCUGCUGGUGGCUGAGGAGGGCGGUGCUGAACACCAGGAUGAUAUGUUCAUCUUGGAUGGAGACUUAGAUGAUGGUGGAGGAGGUAGUGGAGAAAGCUAAAGUGCACUGUGCACCUUGCAGGAUUGUGGAGGAGAGUCUUUGAAGCAAGUGUCCAUUACACAGGUUUUAUGGAGAAGAGGAUGAGUU
Molecule: unclassified non-coding RNA, 5053 nt
Filed under: Portunus trituberculatus (swimming crab)
Lineage: Eukaryota; Metazoa; Arthropoda; Malacostraca; Decapoda; Portunidae
Description: uncharacterized LOC123515992, transcript variant X1
Source: RNAcentral